Molecule: ribosomal RNA, 663 nt
Filed under: Klebsiella variicola
Lineage: Bacteria; Pseudomonadati; Pseudomonadota; Gammaproteobacteria; Enterobacterales; Enterobacteriaceae
Also listed under: 1 other name
Description: partial 23S ribosomal RNA
Rfam family: Bacterial large subunit ribosomal RNA
Source: RNAcentral
UGGUGGGUAGUUUGACUGGGGCGGUCUCCUCCCAAAGAGUAACGGAGGAGCACGAAGGUUAGCUAAUCCUGGUCGGACAUCAGGAGGUUAGUGCAAUGGCAUAAGCUAGCUUGACUGCGAGCGUGACGGCGCGAGCAGGUGCGAAAGCAGGUCAUAGUGAUCCGGUGGUUCUGAAUGGAAGGGCCAUCGCUCAACGGAUAAAAGGUACUCCGGGGAUAACAGGCUGAUACCGCCCAAGAGUUCAUAUCGACGGCGGUGUUUGGCACCUCGAUGUCGGCUCAUCACAUCCUGGGGCUGAAGUAGGUCCCAAGGGUAUGGCUGUUCGCCAUUUAAAGUGGUACGCGAGCUGGGUUUAGAACGUCGUGAGACAGUUCGGUCCCUAUCUGCCGUGGGCGCUGGAGAAUUGAGGGGGGCUGCUCCUAGUACGAGAGGACCGGAGUGGACGCAUCACUGGUGUUCGGGUUGUCAUGCCAAUGGCACUGCCCGGUAGCUAAAUGCGGAAGAGAUAAGUGCUGAAAGCAUCUAAGCACGAAACUUGCCCCGAGAUGAGUUCUCCCUGAGACUUUAAGUCUCCUGAAGGAACGUUGAAGACGACGACGUUGAUAGGCCGGGUGUGUAAGCGCAGCGAUGCGUUGAGCUAACCGGUACUAAUGAACCGUGAGG